AUUGAACGCUGGCGGCAGGCUUAACACAUGCAAGUCGAGCGGGGGAAGGUAGCUUGCUACCGGACCUAGCGGCGGACGGGUGAGUAAUGCUUAGGAAUCUGCCUAUUAGUGGGGGACAACAUCUCGAAAGGGAUGCUAAUACCGCAUACGUCCUAUGGGAGAAAGCAGGGGAUCUUCGGACCUUGCGCUAAUAGAUGAGCCUAAGUCGGAUUAGCUAGUUGGUGGGGUAAAGGCCUACCAAGGCGACGAUCUGUAGCGGGUCUGAGAGGAUGAUCCGCCACACUGGGACUGAGACACGGCCCAGACUCCUACGGGAGGUAGCAGUGGGGAAUAUUGGACAAUGGGGGGAACCCUGAUCCAGCCAUGCCGCGUGUGUGAAGAAGGCCUUAUGGUUGUAAAGCACUUUAAGCGUGGAGGAGGCUACUUUAGUUAAUACCUAGAGAUAGUGGACGUUACUCGCAGAAUAAGCACCGGCUAACUCUGUGCCAGCCGCCGCCGUAA
Molecule: ribosomal RNA, 501 nt
Filed under: uncultured bacterium
Lineage: Bacteria
Description: partial 16S ribosomal RNA
Rfam family: Bacterial small subunit ribosomal RNA
Source: RNAcentral